UUGAAAGGGAAACGAUUGAAGUCAGUCGUACCAGCGGGAAUCAACCUUUCGAGUGGGGGUUUUGGAGUUUUGAAGAGUGUCAAAACCUUUGAGAUUUCAAAAUUUUCGCUCCUUUGGUGUACUUUCUCGUGGGUAGGUUAACAUCGAUUUCGAUCAUCAUAAAAGGAUUGGAGGAAUGUAGCUUCGAUCUUGUAUUGAAGUGUUAUAGCCUUUGGUAAAUGUGAUGAUUAGGAUCGAGGAUUGCAACGAAUACCCUUUUGGGCUAUCCGCCUGAUCUCUGAUACGUGGCCUUGGUAUCGAAAGCGUGCUUAUGGUAUUGAGGUAUUACGGUCAAAAGGUUAGAACGGAUUACAUUCGUUAAGGAUGUUGACGUA
Molecule: ribosomal RNA, 374 nt
Filed under: uncultured Glomeromycotina
Lineage: Eukaryota; Fungi; Glomeromycota
Description: LSU rRNA
Source: RNAcentral